AGUGAACGCUGGCGGUAGGCCUAACACAUGCAAGUCGAACGGCAGCACAGAGGAGCUUGCUCCUUGGGUGGCGAGUGGCGGACGGGUGAGGAAUACAUCGGAAUCUACUCUGUCGUGGGGGAUAACGUAGGGAAACUUACGCUAAUACCGCAUACGACCUACGGGUGACAGCAGUGGACCUUCGGGCCUUGCGCGAUUGAAUGAGCCGAUGUCGGAUUAGCUAGUUGGCGGGGUAAAGGCCCACCAAGGCGACGAUCCGUAGCUGGUCUGAGAGGACGAUCAGCCACACUGGAACUGAGACACGGUCCAGACUCCUACGGGAGGCAGCAGUGGGGAAUAUUGGACAAUGGGCGCAAGCCUGAUCCAGCCAUACCGCGUGGGUGAAGAAGGCCUUCGGGUUGUAAAGCCCUUUUGUUGGGAAAGAAAUCCAGCUGGCUAAUACCCGGUUGGGAUGACGGUACCCAAAGAAUAAGCACCGGCUAACUUCGUGCCAGCCGCCGCCGUAA
RNAcentral lists this ribosomal RNA (506 nucleotides) under uncultured bacterium. RNAcentral's name for it is "partial 16S ribosomal RNA". It matches the Rfam family "Bacterial small subunit ribosomal RNA", at positions 29 to 523 of the family's 1533-position model. The record is from RNAcentral.